GCCAGCAACUUCCCUCCCCUCGACUUGGGAGGCCCCGGGGAGAAAGGCUGAAAGCAGAGUCAGGGCGGGGUUGGGGUGGGGGGACGACUUCAAGGCCCCCUUCCCUGUGCAUCUGUCAAAUGAAGACCAGGAGCCGCUCGCCCGAUCUGUGCCUCAGUCUCCCCAGUCGUGUGAAAGAGCCUGUGUUUGGGUUGGGAGGCUUCGCUGGAGACCUGGUCCCUCCAUGAAGACCAAGUGGGGGUCUCAGAGCCACCAUCCCCCCACCAGAGGCUUCCAGGGCUCUGGAAGGGGCAGGGAAGCAUGGGGACCCGCCCCCCAGGAUCCAGCCUUGGCUCCUGGGCUUCUCCGGUGAGCGUCUUUUGGACACUCACCUCAUACCUCGCCCCUCAUCCAAAUGCUGCCCCCUCCAUUAGCUCCUCAGAGGCCAAGAGGAGGGCUUGUAAUUCUCCUCAGCAGCCUUCUGCAGGUGAAGCAGUCUCCCAGAGAGACCAGGUGACUUCCCACUCAAGGCGGGUGAGGACUCAAAUCCAGCACUGGUCAUGCCGAGAGCGCCUGGGGAAGCCAGGACCCAGUGACCUAGGGCUGGGGGUCAGUGCUCUGGGGAGGGCUGAAGAUCUGUCAAAUACAGGCAAGGGGCAGCUACACCCAUGCAGACCCCUCAAGAGCACUCACACCUCCGUGAGAGUUGUCUGAGGCCUCUCCCAGGUGGCUCUGGGGAGUGAGGGGUGCUGUGGGGUGCUGGCUGCCAAGGCCAGUUCUAAGCAAUUCAGACAAGAAAGAGCAGGAGUCCCAGCCCACCCUGCAGUCCUACUGCUGCCCUGCUGGAGGCCACGCUUGUCCCCCAGGGAGUCCUCAGUUUUAACAUCUGUAAAAUGGACGGGCUGGAAUAAGACACAGUCCGGAGGCCAUCCUGGCCCUGUGGGGCAUUUCAGUCAUCACCAUGAAGGGAGGGAGUCAGCUACUAGCCUGCAUCCAGGCAGGGACGUGGGCGGGACAGUCCAUGAUGAAGCACGGUCUUGUCCAAAUGCCAGCGGUGCCCCACGGAGAAAAAACAGCGAAGGACAACACAGCGCGGUUUGCCAGGCACCAGGCAGGCACUCUGCCUACAUCGGCUCAGCCAGGUCCAAAACAGCCAGGAAAGCUCAGCUCUGGGACAGCUGGAAGGGUCCCUCCCCAGGUGAACUCACCAGGACUGAGCAGGUGCGCCUGCCCACCCCCAGCCAGGGCCUGGGCCAGAAAGAACCACAAACCACAAACCGACAACCAGAAAAGCUGCUGCGAUUUACUAAACUUCAAUUUAGUUUUCACCGAGCUGCUUUUGCUUCUCCCAAAGCAAAAGAAGAAACAGACUUCUCUCAAACAUGAAAUAAAGGACAGCGACACAGGGAAGGACCCCGCACUUGGCUCCCAGGGGUGGGGAGCAUCUUCUUCCCUCCCCGCUCCUCCCCACCUCCCCACCCUCUCAGGCUUCCGGCUCCUCUGCAGGCCAGCAGACCAGCCCCUAGGGUAGAGCCAGGAGAGCCAGGCCCAGAGAGGGUCCCGCAGGCUCCCCUGGGCCCCCAGCGCCCCCUCCCCACCUUCCUGAGCCUCCGGACCUGCGGUGGCCCCUCCCUCUCUGCUUGCCCCCAUUCCCUCCAGCACCUGCCUGGGCUGGAUUCACUUUGACCUCUGCAGUGCCUGGCCCAGCCCAGGUGCUUGGAGAACUCGGGGGACUGUGAAUAGAUACGUAGGAUCGGGAUUGAACCUCCUGAGCUGUUUAGAUGCCUUGUGGCCCACAUCUCACGUUUCCACGGAAGGAGGAGCUGGGGCUCCACUCCCCACAGGGAACCAUGAGAGAGAACCUGAGGCCUCCCCCCUCCUUCCUCCACCGCCCACAGCCCCACCUGCGUGGGAGUCCGGGCCGAAAUCACUGCACUGCAGGCCACUUCUGAGGCCCCCCUCUCUCCUGUCCCCCUGGGGAGCUGCAAUGGCUGGUCAGAGGUGAGGUUUGCUAGACAGUCUCCUCUCAAAUGGGCAAGGCCUAGACCCUGGGAGCAGGUCAUCAGAAGUCCGUUCUACCCCAGCAGCACCAGCAACAAACCUCCACCUGUUUGAGUCCCUGGGAGAGGGGAUGCUCUGCUAGCUUCCUCAAACCCCAGCAGCACAGCCCUCUCCCCACAUGGACCACAUCUGGGGGAACCACGUCCUCCUCACCUUGAUGUCUCUGCGCCCCAGCCUGCACCACACCUCGUGUCCCCCACCCGGGUGUGGGGACGUGAACGGAUGAUCCCUGGGCCCUUCCCACCCUCCUCUCCCAGCACUGCACUGGGAAGCUGGGGCCCACGAGCUUGGCGAGUCCAUGUCCAACUCCUCCUGCCUCGCACAGCCACAGGUAGAACCACGGUUGUGGGGAAGACUCCCCACCCUAAGCCACCCUGAGGUUGGGCAUGAAGAAGGCGCUGUGACAUCUGAGCAGUGAUCACCCACCAGAAACUUCAGAAUCCAGGGGUGAAGAUGUUGACAGCUAAGGGGAGAUUGAGGGCUAGAAUGACAGAAGUUGGGGGGAGAUGAAGACCGCAGUCACCAAAUUCACAGCCUCCACCCUCACCCCAGAAUGGAGUGGGGAGGAAUAUGAGGAUCACAAACACACACGAUCCUCCCUCCACCAUCAUCGGGCUUUCUGCCAGACUGACAGAGGAGCAGACAGACUCACCAAAGCUCCAAGAGACACGUGGCUCCGGGCACCCC
This is a long non-coding RNA of Bos taurus (domestic cattle), 2727 nucleotides long. Lineage: Eukaryota; Metazoa; Chordata; Mammalia; Artiodactyla; Bovidae. The record is from Ensembl.